AGGGGAAUAUUGCACAAUGGGCGCAAGCCUGAUGCAGCGACGCCGCGUGAGGGAUGACGGCCUUCGGGUUGUACACCUCUUUCAGCUCCGACGAAGCGCAAGAGACGGUAGGAGCAGAAGAAGCACCGGCCAACUACGUGCCAGCAGCCGCGGUAAUACGUAGGGUGCAAGCGUUGUCCGUAAUUACUGGGCGUAAAGAUCUCGUAGGCGGUUUAUCGCGUCGUCUGUGAAAUUCUGCAGUUUAACUGCAGGCGUGCAGUGGAUACGGGCAGACUUGAGUACUACAGGGGAGACUGGAAUUCCUGGUGUAGCGGUGAAAUGCGCAGAUAUCAGGAGGAACACCGGUGGCGAAUGAGGGUCUCUGGGUAGUAACUGACGCUGAGUAGCGAAAGCGGGGGUAGCGAACAUG
This 409-nucleotide ribosomal RNA is filed under the name Actinomycetes bacterium. RNAcentral describes it as "Actinobacteria bacterium partial 16S ribosomal RNA". It matches the Rfam family "Bacterial small subunit ribosomal RNA", at positions 355 to 776 of the family's 1533-position model. Lineage: Bacteria; Bacillati; Actinomycetota; Actinomycetes. The record is from RNAcentral.